ACUUACUUCCAGAUACUCGUCAUUAAUUUGUUCAUUAUUUUCUGCCGUCGUUGGUUCCUCUUCUUCUACAUGAGUACUGACUACAUGAAUUAUUUCGGCACACCAAUUCUUGACAGUUGGAUGUUGAGGAGAGUUUAGGAUU
Caenorhabditis elegans is the source of this 142-nucleotide non-coding RNA. The record is from Ensembl. NCBI's taxonomy places the organism in Eukaryota, Metazoa, Nematoda, Chromadorea, Rhabditida, Rhabditidae.